Small nuclear RNA from Acomys russatus (golden spiny mouse), 168 nucleotides. RefSeq annotates it as U1 spliceosomal RNA. The record is from RefSeq and is a predicted model, not a curated record. The transcript has a single exon. Lineage: Eukaryota; Metazoa; Chordata; Mammalia; Rodentia; Muridae.
AAACAAACCUGGCAAGGAGGAGAUAGAGCAGGAUCAGGAAGGCAGCUUUCCCAGGCUGAGGCUCAUCCAUUGCACUCCAGAUUUGCUGACCCCUGCGAUUUCCCCAGAUGUGGGAAACCCCAUUUUAUAAUUUGUGGUAGUGGAGGACUGCUUUCACACUCUCCCUUG